AUUGAACGCUGGCGGCAGGCUUAACACAUGCAAGUCGAGGGGGGGAAGGUAGCUUGCUACCGGACCUAGCGGCGGACGGGUGAGUAAUGCUUAGGAAUCUGCCUAUUAGUGGGGGACAACAUCUCGAAAGGGAUGCUAAUACCGCAUACGUCCUACGGGAGAAAGCAGGGGAUCUUCGGACCUUGCGCUAAUAGAUGAGCCUAAGUCGGAUUAGCUAGUUGGGGGGGUAAAGGCCUACCAAGGCGGAGAUCGGGAGUGGGUCUGAGAGGAUGGACCGCCACACUGGGACUGAGACACGGGCCAGACUCCUACGGGAGGCAGCAGUGGGGAAUAUUGGACAAUGGGCGGAAGCCUGAUCCAGCCAUGCCGCGUGUGUGAAGAAGGCCUUAUGGUUGUAAAGCACUUUAAGCGAGGAGGAGGCUACUUUAGUUAAUACCUAGAGAUAGUGGACGUUACUCGCAGAAUAAGCACCGGCUAACUCUGUGCCAGCCGCCGCAGUAA
This 501-nucleotide ribosomal RNA is filed under the name uncultured bacterium. RNAcentral's name for it is "partial 16S ribosomal RNA". It matches the Rfam family "Bacterial small subunit ribosomal RNA", at positions 30 to 523 of the family's 1533-position model. The record is from RNAcentral.